CCUACGGGAGGCAGCAGUGGGGAAUAUUGCACAAUGGGGGAAACCCUGAUGCAGCGACGCCGCGUGAGUGAAGAAGUACUUCGUUAUGUAAAGCUCUAUUAGCAGGUACGAAAAUGCCGGUACCUGCGUAAGAAGCCCCCGCUACCUACGUGCCAGCCGCCGCGGGAAUACGUAGGGGGCAAGCGUUAUCCGGAUUUACUGGUUGUAAAGGGAGCGUAGACGGCAGUGCAAGUCUGGAGUGAAAGUCGGGGGCUCAACCCCCGGACUGCUCUGGAAACUGUACGGCUGGAGUGCAGGAGAGGUAAGUGGAAUUCCGAGUGUAGCGGUGAAAUGCGUAUAUAUUAGGAGGAACACCAGUGGCGAAGGCGGCUUACUGGACUGUAACUGACGUUGAGGCUCGAAAGCGUGGGGAGCAAACAGGAUUAGAUACCCCAGUAGUC
Molecule: ribosomal RNA, 440 nt
Filed under: uncultured bacterium
Lineage: Bacteria
Description: partial 16S ribosomal RNA
Rfam family: Bacterial small subunit ribosomal RNA
Source: RNAcentral